GAUGAACGCUAGCGAUAGGCUUAACACAUGCAAGUCGAGGGGCAGCACGUGAGGCAGCAAUGCUGAUGGUGGCGACCGGCGGAUGGGUGAGUAACACGUAUGCAACCUACCUCCAACACGGGCAUAACCCGGAGAAAUCCGGACUAAUUCCCGAUGACACAGGGGCCCCGCAUGGGGAUAUUUGUUAAAGUACAAUCGGUUGGAGAUGGGCAUGCGUUCCAUUAGUUAGUUGGUAAGGUAACGGCUUACCAAGACGUCGAUGGAUAGGGGAACUGAGAGGUUUAUCCCCCACACUGGGACUGAGACACGGCCCAGACUCCUACGGGAGGCAGCAGUGAGGAAUAUUGGUCAAUGAGCGAAAGCUUGAACCAGCCAAGUCGCGUGAAGGAUGAAUGCCCUACGGGUUGUAAACUUCUUUUCAAGGGAAUAAAGUGGGCCACGCGUGGCCUUUUGCAUGUACCUUGCGAAUAAGGAUCGGCUAACUCCGUG
Molecule: ribosomal RNA, 489 nt
Filed under: uncultured bacterium
Lineage: Bacteria
Description: bacterial SSU rRNA
Rfam family: Bacterial small subunit ribosomal RNA
Source: RNAcentral